Long non-coding RNA from Heterocephalus glaber (naked mole-rat), 2194 nucleotides. Lineage: Eukaryota; Metazoa; Chordata; Mammalia; Rodentia; Bathyergidae. The record is from Ensembl.
GAGGAGGAAGCCAGCGGAGCAGGCGGUGGGAUCCCGUGUGCCCUGCAAAGGUGUCAGCCCCGAGGGGACUGAGCUUGCCAGUCCACCUGGAGCGAGGUAGACUUGGGGGAGGCAGGCAAGGUCAGUUGCUAAGUGGCUCCCUCCUCGGGGAUGGUGAGGACGUCUGCUGCUCUCCAGUGCCUGCCUGGUGCCUCUGGGUCACACUCGGCUGUCUCCUCCCAGACACUUGAUUUUUCGAAAGGGACACACCUUUCUGCAGGAAGGAAGACUGGCCAGACUGCGAGCGUUUCCACCCCAUCUGUCCAGCAUUCCCGCCCUCCUCCGCACCCCGGGGAAGCGUGGCCCGUCUUCACCGUGAGGCUUUUGCCUCCUAAGCCUGGAUUUCCGGCUGGUUCGCUGGGGGUGGCUGUGGAUGCCCAGGCAGACUGACCCGGCAGGAGUGUUUGUGCAUGGGAUCGGAGACCAUGGCAGUGCAGCUGGUGCCGGACUCUGCUCUCAGCCUGCUGAUGCUGCAAGAGACACAGUGACUGCCAGGGGCCUCCAAAGAAGAAAGAGGCAUAAGUGGGCAGGAAGAUAGGGAGGAGAUGCAGUCAGCGCCUCUUCUGUGGCAGUGGUAGAAGACCCAAGGCUAGGCAGUUUCCCCCUUCCUUAAAUGAAGAAUUAGGCACAGGAGGAUAGAAGAAUGUGCUUAAACGAGAAACAGCACAGAAUGAAAUUGAGAGGUUAGUGGGUCAUUCAUAAUGUGAUAUGAUCGAGUACAAUUAAGAGAUUUGCCGACUGAUAAAUGUUUCCGAAUACACGUGGCUCUAACUGCUCUUCCAUCCCUUUCACUGGGAAUGGAUUUACGGAUUGAAGAGCUGUUUAAUUUUUAAUUUUAAGUCCUUUUAUAAAUUCCGGUUUUAUUAAUCUUCAUCAUAAAUUAUAAUUUAUGAGCACAGAUGCCUAACAGGGCCUCAGGGUUCUGGCUCACAAAGGAAAAUGAGUAUCACUCUGCAGAAAGGCAGGAGGCAGCCGCCUGUGCAGAGCCUGGGGGUGUGCCUUCGGCUGGGGUGACCCUAACCCCAGCAGACACCCCUCCACAGGUGAGGAACAGCACCCUAGUGUAAGCAGCCUGUCCAAGGCACUCUGACAUCCCAGGCGCUGAGGAGUCUUAGCUGUCUGCUCUCGAACCUGAAGUCCUUUUCUCUCCGUCUCUUCCUGCCCCGCUGGACAAAGGCUUCCUCAGCGAUCCUUCCAGAUCAUUCCAGAUCCCCGGAAGUGCCACUGCGAUCAGAGCCUGAGCACCUGGACCCCACCAGGGCUCACUCUUGGUGGGGUUCUGUCCUCUCUCCCAGGACCGUUGCCCCCAGUGGCCCUGUGUUUAGUAUCUGAGGACCCUCGGCACUGAUUUCCACAGAGGCCACACAAAUGUGCACAGCAAGGUAGAAGGGUUUCUUUCCCCAUACUGUCGCCAGCGGUUAUUGUUUUCUUGUGUUCUUCAUGGUAGGUUUUCUGACUCGGUGAGGUAGACUCUCAAGACAGUUCGGCUUGCCUUUCCCUGGUGGCCAGAGAUAGAAACAGAAGUCUGUUGCUCACAGUUCUGGGGCUGGGAAGGCCAGGCCACACACUCAGGACCUGCCCGGCGGCCCACGCGUGGAUGGCCAUCCUCUCACUGUGUCCUCAUGUUGCUCUCUGUGGUCUCUAUGGUGACACUAAUUCUAUUCACAAAGGCUCCCCUUGUGAGCCAGUACCUCCAAGGCCCCGCCUCCUAAUAUCAUCACCGUGGGAGUUAGGACUCCAACAUGUGCGCUUGGGGGAUUGGAUGCUCAGUCUAGCUGAAGAGCUUUCUCUCAGUGUGCCCCAGUUUAUCUGGAACAAAAUGAGAUGGACCAUUUUAUUGCAGCAAGUGAGAGGCAGAAGUGUUUCUAUCUUAGGAGACUUCCACCUUUGUCCCAGCAAUUUCAGUGGGGUUUACCGGCAGUGUUUGCUUCCCUCUAUCCUUUGGUCAAUCAGUGUGAAAGGACAGCCAACAUUUCAAAUAUUUUUAAAUUAAAAAUAGAUUACAAAAACACUUUCGGACUCUUUUUCCAGCUGUAAAAUUAAGCUCAUCUACCUAGAAACUCAGUAAAUGAAGUGCAUCCCUACAUAUUUGCUGAGGGAAAGAGUUCAACAGUCUUUCUUUCUGAGGGAAAGAGAAUUUUUUUCCAAAUUCUGG